GAUCCUGGUUCAGGAUGAACGCUAGCGACAGGCUUAACACAUGCAAGUCGAGGGGCAGCACGGUGUAGCAAUACACUGGUGGCGACCGGCGCACGGGUGAGUAACACGUGUGCAACCAACCCCGUACCGGGAGAUAACCCGCGGAAACGUGGACUAACAUCCCAUAAGACUCUAGAGCCGCAUGGCUCUGGAUUUAAAAUUCCGGUGGUACGGGACGGGCACGCGCGACAUUAGGUAGUUGGCGGGGUAACGGCCCACCAAG
Molecule: ribosomal RNA, 262 nt
Filed under: uncultured bacterium
Lineage: Bacteria
Description: partial 16S ribosomal RNA
Rfam family: Bacterial small subunit ribosomal RNA
Source: RNAcentral